Molecule: ribosomal RNA, 738 nt
Filed under: uncultured bacterium
Lineage: Bacteria
Description: bacterial SSU rRNA
Rfam family: Bacterial small subunit ribosomal RNA
Source: RNAcentral
UCGAGCGAGAAAGGGUAGCAAUACCUGAGUACAGCGGCGCACGGGUGAGUAACACGUGACUAACCUACCCUCGAGUGGGGAAUAACUUCGGGAAACCGAGGCUAAUACCGCAUAAUACCCACGGGUCAAAGGAGCAAUUCGCUUGAGGAGGGGGUCGCGGCCGAUUAGUUAGUUGGCGGGGUAAUGGCCCACCAAGACGAUGAUCGGUAUCCGGCCUGAGAGGGCGCACGGACACACUGGAACUGAAACACGGUCCAGACUCCUACGGGAGGCAGCAGUGGGGAAUUUUGCGCAAUGGGGGAAACCCUGACGCAGCAACGCCGCGUGGAGGAUGAAGUCCUUCGGGACGUAAACUCCUUUCGAUCGGGACGAUUAUGACGGUACCGGAAGAAGAAGCCCCGGCUAACUUCGUGCCAGCAGCCGCGGUAAUACGAGGGGGGCGAGCGUUGUUCGGAAUUAUUGGGCGUAAAGGGUGCGUAGGCGGUUUGGUAAGUCUCAUGUGAAAUCUACAGGCUCAACUUGUAGUCUGCAUGAGAAACUGCCGGGCUUGAGUGUGGGAGAGGUGAGUGGAAUUUCCGGUGUAGCGGUGAAAUGCGUAGAUAUCGGAAGGAACACCUGUGGCGAAAGCGGCUCACUGGACCACAACUGACGCUGAUGCACGAAAGCUAGGGGAGCAAACAGGAUUAGAUACCCUGGUAGUCCUAGUCCUAAACGAUGACUGCUUUGGUGUGACGGGUA